Long non-coding RNA from Xiphias gladius (swordfish), 554 nucleotides. RefSeq lists it as uncharacterized. The record is from RefSeq and is a predicted model, not a curated record. NCBI's taxonomy places the organism in Eukaryota, Metazoa, Chordata, Actinopteri, Istiophoriformes, Xiphiidae. The transcript has 4 exons.
ACAGUAGGCAACUGCAGCAGGAGAGCUGGUCCUGGUCCGACAGCCUGUCAGCCUCUUAGUCAUUGAGGAUUGUCGGAACGUCAGCAGCAGCUUAGUCGGAGUUCACGGUUUCAACAUUACAGACAACGCGAAAUAUGACUUGCUAUGUUGGCGGCAUCGGUGGAACUGCCGACGGUUCCGUCAGCCACUUCGGUAUCGCCAGUUGGAAGUCUGGUCCAGCAAAUAUUGUCACAAUUCAACUGGACACAACCCAGGAGAGCUCUGGUUGUAAAGGAUACAGUUUGCGGUUCGCCAGAGCUCAGAUGAACCGAAUUCCUGGCAGCGUGGCAUGUCACUCGGAGGAACAGUAAGAUGUCAAGGCCAGCGAGCCAUGAGUGAUGGAGGCCGAGGGAGGGGAAAAAAUUAGCCCAAGAGAUUAUGUGUUAGAAUAAGAUGGAUGAGGUAGUGAACGUCCAAAUCAGUGCCUGUGUUUCACCAUCAUGCAAUUCCAGCUUUUUGGUCAACUUUGUCUAAGAUGCACUAUAUACCUGUAAGUGUCCAUUGGCUGAUAUGUG